Molecule: ribosomal RNA, 506 nt
Filed under: uncultured bacterium
Lineage: Bacteria
Description: partial 16S ribosomal RNA
Rfam family: Bacterial small subunit ribosomal RNA
Source: RNAcentral
AUUGAACGCUGGCGGCAGGCCUAACACAUGCAAGUCGAACGGUUACAGGAAACAGCUUGCUGUUUCGCUGACGAGUGGCGGACGGGUGAGUGAUGUCUGGGAAACUGCCUGAUGGAGGGGGAUAACUACUGGAAACGGUAGCUAAUACCGCAUAACGUCGCGAGACCAAAGAGGGGGACCUUCGGGCCUCUUGCCAUCGGAAGUGCCCAGAUGGGAUUAGCUAGUAGGUGGGGUAACGGCUCACCUAGGCGACGAUCCCUAGCUGGUCUGAGAGGAUGACCAGCCACACUGGAACUGAGACACGGUCCAGACUCCUACGGGAGGCAGCAGUGGGGAAUAUUGCACAAUGGGCGCAAGCCUGAUGCAGCCAUGCCGCGUGUAUGAAGAAGGCCUUCGGGUUGUAAAGUACUUUCAGCGGGGAGGAAGGGAAUAAAGUUAAUACCUUUGCUCAUUGACGUUACCCGCAGAAGAAGCACCGGCUAACUCCGUGCCAGCCGCCGCAGUAA